GGGGCAGUUUGAGAAGAGAAAGGUUUGAAAUGAUGUUUGCAGAGAUACGGAAGACAAACGACUCUAGAGAAAUGUAGUAGAUUCCCAGGCAAUGUUGAGCCCAGUUGAGAAAGGAAGGAAGAAAGAAGACAGAAGUCCCUAUGAAAACAACAGCCAAAAUCUAAUCUCUUCCUCUGAUGUUUGCCUUAACAUUACAACCAGUAAUUUUCCCACCAUCACCUCAGCAAAGGCAUCCAAUCGUUGAAUAUCUUUAGUUGCAGUCCAGGGAAGAGGACGGAGGCAGAAGGCUGUCUGAAUCCGUGCUACUCAGUGUGGGCUGAAGACCAGGGCUGGGCCAUGAUCUGUUUGUUGCCAGCUUGUGGCAAGGCAUGACUUUGCAGCUCCUCUGAAAUCUGACUCUGUGUCCACAUCUACAGGCUCCUCCUGACACAGCAUCUCCUAAGCACAGUCCCAACAGGUACCAUUCACAGCCUUAAGGUGGGACCCGAACAGUGAAUGCUUACUGGAUCCUAACAACUGUUGCCUUCUCUUCUGCUUGCUCACACGCCAUUGUUUUAACAGUCAGCCAAUCCACUCUACUCCAUUCCUAUGACAGAAAGAAGCAAGAGGGAGCCUUCCACAAAGAAAGUGGGAGUGAGUGGGAGACUGAGAAAGGAGAGGAGCACGCACAUUGGAACUACUCUGUUGAUGUGAGAAACAUGUCACAGAAGCUGAGGCUUGUUAAGCCAAAGAUGAUACAAAUGUAUCUCCAUGUGUAUUGCCAGGAACCAAAGCUUUGUGUAAAUGUUGCGUAUAGAAGGAAGGAGGGUGAGAAAGUGCGCACCUGUCUGGAUUCAUCCCUUCCCUUCAUCCCUGACUUGCAGCUCCCUUGGGCCUGGGUGACUCCCUCACUGGGGUACAUUUAUCUGAUGGUUGAUUCUGCUGUAAUGGGUUCUUCCUUUCCUUCCCCUAUUGUUUCAUGACAUAUGCUAACCCUCUCCUCCAUCCCCUCUUUUUUCCAUGGGAAAAUACUAUAAAUGAAUAAAGACACAUUACUACU
Long non-coding RNA from Rhinopithecus roxellana (golden snub-nosed monkey), 1039 nucleotides. RefSeq lists it as uncharacterized. The record is from RefSeq and is a predicted model, not a curated record. The transcript has 3 exons. NCBI's taxonomy places the organism in Eukaryota, Metazoa, Chordata, Mammalia, Primates, Cercopithecidae.